GAUGAACGCUAGCUACAGGCUUAACACAUGCAAGUCGCGGGGCAUCAUGGAGGUUGCUUGCAAUUUCUGAUGGCGACCGGCGCACGGGUGAGUAACGCGUAUCCAACCUUCCCAUUACUACGGCAUACCCCGUUGAAAGGCGGCCUAAUUCCGUAUGCAGUCCGAAGCAGUCAUCUAAUUUGGACGAAGGGUAUAUUCUAUCGGUAAUGGAUGGGGAUGCGUCCGAUUAGCCAGCCGGCGGGGUAACGGCCCACCGGGGCAUUGAUCGGUAGGGGUUCUGAGAGGAAGGUCCCCCACACUGGAACUGAGACACGGUCCAGACUCCUACGGGAGGCAGCAGUGAGGAAUAUUGGUCAAUGGGCGUAAGCCUGAACCAGCCAAGUAGCGUGCAGGAUGACGGCCCUAUGGGUUGUAAACUGCUUUUAUGCGGGGAUAAAGUUGGGGACGUGUCCCUUUUUGCAGGUACCGCAUGAAUAAGGACCGGCUAAUUCCGUGCCAGCAGCCGCGGUAAUACGGAAGGUCCGGGCGUUAUCCGGAUUUAUUGGGUUUAAAGGGAGCGUAGGCAGUUUUUUAAGCGUGCUGUGAAAUGUACCGGCUCAACCGGUGAUGUGCAGCGCGAACUGGGAAUCUUGAGUACGCAGUAAGCAGGCGGAAUUCGUGGUGUAGCGGUGAAAUGCUUAGAUAUCACGAAGAACUCCGAUUGCGUAGGCAGCUUGCUGUAGCGUAACUGACGCUGAAGCUCGAAAGUGCGGGUAUCGAACAGG
RNAcentral lists this ribosomal RNA (764 nucleotides) under uncultured Prevotella sp. Its description in RNAcentral is "bacterial SSU rRNA". It matches the Rfam family "Bacterial small subunit ribosomal RNA", at positions 28 to 776 of the family's 1533-position model. The record is from RNAcentral. Lineage: Bacteria; Pseudomonadati; Bacteroidota; Bacteroidia; Bacteroidales; Prevotellaceae.